RNAcentral lists this ribosomal RNA (253 nucleotides) under uncultured bacterium. Its description in RNAcentral is "partial 16S ribosomal RNA". It matches the Rfam family "Bacterial small subunit ribosomal RNA", at positions 524 to 776 of the family's 1533-position model. The record is from RNAcentral.
UACAGAGGGUGCAAGCGUUGUUCGGAAUUACUGGGCGUAAAGCGUGUGUAGGUGGCUGCGAAAGUCGGAUGUGAAAGCCCUGGGCUCAACUCAGGAAGUGCACCCGAUACUGCGUAGCUCGAGUACCGGAGAGGUUGGUAGAAUUCUCGGUGUAGAGGUGAAAUUCGUAGAUAUCGAGAGGAAUACCUGUGGCGAAGGCGGCCAACUGGACGAGUACUGACACUGAGACACGAAAGCGUGGGGAGCAAACAGG